GGGGGGGGGGGGGGGGGGGGGGGGGGGGUGCGGGGGGGGGGGCGGGGGGGGGGGGGGGGGCGCGGGGGGGUGGCGGGGGGGGGGCGGGGGGGGAGUACGUCGGGAGCUACGGUUUCGGGGGGGGUGACGGCGGGGGACUUACGCUAAUACCGCAUACGACCUACGGGGGAAGGCCGGGGAUCUCCGUCCCUUGCGCGCUUGAAGGAGCCGCUGUCGGAUUAGCUAGUUGGCGGUGUAAAGGCCCACCAAGGCGCCGAUCCGUAGCUGGUCUGAGAGGAUGAGCAGCCACACUGGAACUGAGACACGGUCCAGACUCCUACGGGAGGCAGCAGUGGGGAAUAUUGGACAAUGGGCGCAAGCCUGAUCCAGCCAUACCGCGUGGGUGAAGAAGGCCUUCGGGUUGUAAAGCCCUUUUGUUGGGAAAGAAAAGCAGCAGGUUAAUACCCCGCUGUUCUGACGGUACCCAAAGAAUAAGCACCGGCUAACUUCGUG
This 492-nucleotide ribosomal RNA is filed under the name uncultured bacterium. Its description in RNAcentral is "partial 16S ribosomal RNA". The stretch from base 62 to 492 matches the Rfam family "Bacterial small subunit ribosomal RNA", at positions 39 to 507 of the family's 1533-position model. The record is from RNAcentral.